AUAUACACAGAUAUCAGUAGAGCGGCAUACCACUUCUCUUGCGCACGUGGGGCGGGAACUUCACUCUCUCUCUCGUUGUGCACAGCUCCCCUAGAGCAGAGCCUCUGAGGCACACUGCACGCGUAUACCGCUCUAGCGGACAGCGGAGUUGGUAUCGACUUUUUUUUCGCGUCUUUGCACUGUCUCGUACGAUUUCACUGACACUCGCGCGACGAAUGUCGUCUUCCAGUGCACGGCGUUCAGAAGACGCCGUGGCGCCGCCCACCCCGCCACCGGUGCACACUUCCUCCUCUCAAGCGGCAUCACGCUCACUAAGGAAAGGGCUCGACACUUCCCCCGCCACGGCAGUGGCUCCUAUGAGCCCUCUCUCUCCGUCAGAAGUGAACACCGCCUUGGCAUCGACGAAAACGCCGGCAUCAGGCGCACUCGGUGAAGUACCAGCUUCUUCAGGUGACGCUCCUGUCGCCGCCGGCAGUGCCGCCUCGCGAACUGUUGAUCCCCCCGACCUGACGUCUACGCCGAGCCCAUCCGCGAGGACACUUUUGUUGCAGCGACGGCUGGAGAAAGAUACGGAGGCACGAGCACGCCUGCAUAUCGUCUCCGAUGAGCCCUCCGCCUUGCCUGAUACAGAGAAGGCGUGCACACGCGCCAAGUCUUCUUCUUCUUCCGCGAAACCGCUGGAAAGCCCUGAUCAGACGCACGCGCGGAGGAGGCCAGCGGUGUCACCUCGCAGAGCCGUCAAUGGAGCUGCCGCUGCGGCUGCGUCCUCUGGGGCCAAGGGUGGCGGCGAGAGCGACAGCGGGACGCCCGCCACCUUAUCUGUUUGCAUGGUGAUCGGAGAGACCGCGAAACCUGCAGCAGCGAAGCCAAGUGCAGGGGCGACGUUUCCUCCCACAAACGGUGGGAAGGAUGCUGCGGCCGAGGGGACUGUCACCACGACGCCAGAAGUGCCAUCGAGCAUCAACCCGUGCGACGGGAGCGGUGCUCUUGCUACCCCUCGGAGGCGCUACAUUGCUCUUCGGCCUACAAUGUCUGUGUCGCCGCUCACCACCGCAUCGACGCGCACCCUAAGCAGCAACGAUGAUAACGAGGAGGGCAGCCCAGCCGCACCCAAAAGGAAGGUGGACAUCGCCCACACGGCAGCAACAGCAGGCAGCAAGGAGACAGAGACGUAUGGCACCCAGGGAGCAUCGACUGCGCCACGCCGCACCGACUCUGGUGGCGCCUCUGCCACAGUGGCAGCUCUUAGAGGUCGCCUUGCAGCGGCCUCUGGUCUGUCUACGACACGCACCUCUACAGGCAGCUUGAAUGCUGGCGCUUCUGCUGGUAGCACGGCUGAUGCCAAAUCGGCGGAGGCCGCUGCCCUAGCGGAGCUGCGUGAGCUCCGACAGGUGCUCAAGGACAAGGAGCGGGACCUCACUCGGCUCACACGUGACGUGGAAAAGGCUACGCAGGCCGCCGCGAAGGCGCAGAAGAAAACCGAAGAUUUGCAGGGCAAGUUGGAGAGCGAGAAGUCGGCUUUUGCGGCGCACAAGAAGGACACCCUGGCCCAGAGGCAAGAACUGCAGAGGGAGCUGCGGCAGGCCCAGGCAGCGCUGCGCUUGGCGGAGCAGGUACAGGAUAAGUUGCAGCGAGAGCUAGAAAAGCAGAAGGAGAAGCUAGCCACUGCAUCGUCGCGCGCAACGAGCGUUACCACCACCCCCGUCAUGACUCCAAGGUCUGCGGCGCCGUCCUCGGCUUCCUUCGAUGCCAUGCUGCAGGCGAAGGUGUCGAGCUUAGAGAGUGAGAAGAAGCUCAUGAAGGACACGAUUCGGCAGUUGGAAGAGAAGGUUUCUGCUGCUGCCGCUGCUGCUGGUCUUGCGAAGACAGCCGAGCAGCAGCGCGACGCUUCUGCAGCCGCAGCCGCAGAAGCAGCGGAGACGAUCGCGUCACUGAAGAAGGAGGUGCUGCAUCUUCGGCAGCAACUUUCUACGCAGGAGACGACGGUGCGUGAUCAGCGCGAAAGGUUGGGUGCGCUCCUGGAAGAGAACAAAACGCUCAAGGCACGCGAGAAAGCUGAAAGGAAGCCCGCGCGCAAGGAUGCCGCUGCAGCCACUCUGCGAACAGGUGCAGCACCGGGCAAGGGAGUGAGCGAGGAGCAGUUGCUUUCAGUGCGGUCGCCCCGCCAGGCCGUGACGCUUGCCACCCCUGAGAAGGAAGCGAUGGCGCACCUGCGGGAGGAGUUAACAGCGGCACAAACCCAGGUGGGGGAGCACAAGCGCAUGUACGAACAUGCUGAGCGCCGCAUCAAGCGGCUCGAGAUAGAGUUGGCUGCUGUCCGGCGCCGCGCUGAAACAGCAGAGGCCGCCAAGGGGAUCGCGUUGCAGGCGGCGGGCUCUCCUGCCUCUACGACAGCGGCCACUGCCAUUUUCAAGGAUACGAUAGCUUCCAUGAAAGAGCAGCUGGCGAGUGUGACAGCCGAGUGUAGUGAGCUGCGGCAGCGCGCACGGGAGCGGACCGAGGAGGCGACCACGCUACAGUCCGCACUCCAAGAAGCUGAGGAUGACCGAGAUGCAUGCGUGCGGCAGAUUCGAGAUCUGAAGUCCCGCGCUUCCGAAGCUGAAGAAAAGGCGGCGACCGCGCUGGCGGCCCAGAAAAUGGAGCUGACUGGGGCGCUGGAGAAAGUUCGGACAGAGCUGCGCUCAGUGAAGGCCGAGCUGCGCGCCGCCGCAGAUUCCGCGCAAGGGCAUCAGGAAGCAUCCAAGGCUCUUCGCAGUCAACUUGGUGGCGAGCAGCAGCGCUGUUCUGACCUGGAAAAGGAGAAGCGAGCUGCGCAGGAGGAGGCGGCCGCAAAGGCCGCCGCUGCCGACGCAUCGAGGCAGCAGGCUGAUCACUACAAGAAAAAAACAAAGCAGCUCACCAAAAAGCUGGACGAAGCCUUGCGGGAGCUUGCGGUGCUGGCAGAAGAGUACGAGCGCAUCUGCGAGGAGCGUAAGGUGGCGGCGAAGCCCGACUCUGAGAAGAACGCGAUCGCUGAGGCACGCAGGUUGAUGCGCCGACAGCCGGGCACAUAUAUAGAGCAGCACACCACAACGAGAGACACGGAAACGGUGAUUCGAGCAGUGUCUCCCUUGGAAGCGAAGCGCACCGCCAGCGUGUCCCGCAAUCUUUCCGACGCUCUCCUCUCCGCAAACAGACCGGCCCCUGUAACAGGGGCGACUUCCACCGCGUGGGCGAUUGCGGCACUGGAUCAGGAGCGGCAAGCUCGCGAGCAGCUUGAGUUGGACGUUCUGUCCCUCUACUCCAAGAUAUCCGCCAUCGAUCACCUUGAGCAAAAAUCCUGGCAUUCGGUGGAGCUAGGGGGAGCUUGUGCUGUCGCUGGUGCGUCAUCGACGAACCUGCCAGUGGGAAGCACGCAUGAUCGACCACGAGACCCUCCGCAACCGCCGUGGAUGCCUGUAGCCCUGCAACAAAGUCCCGGCACCUGUGGCGCGCCGGGGCGCGCGCGCUCGCCCCAGGCCACGCACGCGCUAGACGCUCGCUACUUUGACCCCACCAUACUCACCUGCCCGGAGAGCCCGCCUCGCUCUGCUGGAGUUGAUUCCAUCAACGUCCGCGGACAUGCCACGGCGAACUCACACCAGCACGCGGAGCCGCAGCAGCGGAGCCGAUCGUUGCCAUCUGAAGCACUUCAGCUGUCACCGGGCGCGCGCAGUAGAGGCGAUGCUCAGUCGACGUAUCGAGGGCUCUCUCCUCGGUCUAUGGUGCUGUCGACGUCUACCUCUGCAGUCCAGCCCUACCGCAGCGACAGCAGCGCGAGCGUCAUCUCAGCGCUCUCUGAGCUCCCUGCUACCUCGGUGUACUACUCCACUCGAGGUGCCGGCAGCAGCGGCAAUGGGGCGGGACUGUGUGCUACGGUGGAACUGCAAUUCAGCAGCAGUGCUGGGCGGCUUUUGCUGAGCAAACGUGGGCACCGCGUGCAGCGCCCCGUGUUUUCCGCCGCAGCGAACGAGGCUUCGGAUCUGGAUGUGUGCUGCGCCGCCAUCGGCUCGGUGAGCCACACAAUUUACGCUUCCCAUAUGUUGGCGAAGGGGCACUACCACCUCAAGCACAUCUUCCGCUUCAUCGUUCGCGUUCUCAGCGAUUGCGAAAGUGGCGGCGGCGGCGACAUCCUCAUCGGGUUUGCGGACCGCUACAUCCCGAUGGAGAGUUUCGGCGCCAAGCGAAACGCACUGCGCUACAGGGGCUGCUACUACCUCAGCCUGCGCAACGGUGGCCUCUUCUGCCCUGCUCAGGAUAUUUGUGAUGCGACGUAUGAGGGCUGGUUAGCGGCAGCGGCGGCGGCGGCAGGGCGACGCUGCGGCGGCGGGGCGGGGCCAAGGCGUGACCGGGGCGCCUCUGUAACCUUUACACACGGCGUAGAGGCUCCUCUCACGGAUGCGCGUACGACCUCCUCACCCGUGCACACACGCGCUCUGCCGAGGCCAGAGUGCGUCGCGCGGGCCGGUGACGAAAUCGCCUGCACCCUCCGCACAGAUGAGCGGUCGAUCAGCUAUUCAUGGAACGGCGUCGAGUGCGGUGUUGCGUUUACGGAGGUGUCUCUGUCGCCCUCUCUUUACCCGUGUGUCGAGGUAAAUACCUCUGGUGGCGCUUUAGAACUGCUCGGAAUCGAUUCUUGAAGCCACUGACGGUGUAGUUUUGGUACUGCACGCGCCCGUGAUUCCAUGAAGGACGUGCGUCGCCGUGCCCCCUGCUUCACGUGGCACUUGCCGCACAGCCGAACAGACGACGACCUUGCGACGCUUCCAUCUCACACCCCUUUUUUUUCUUUUUGUCUGUACCUUUACGUUGUUUCGUUAUUCGAACCCCAUCUUAG
This 4855-nucleotide unclassified non-coding RNA is filed under the name Leishmania donovani. Its description in RNAcentral is "gene:LdHU3.31.2270(CDS-product:hypothetical_prote in_conserved)". Lineage: Eukaryota; Euglenozoa; Kinetoplastea; Trypanosomatida; Trypanosomatidae. The record is from RNAcentral.